Molecule: ribosomal RNA, 370 nt
Filed under: uncultured organism
Description: bacterial SSU rRNA
Rfam family: Bacterial small subunit ribosomal RNA
Source: RNAcentral
CGAAGGGGGCUAGCGUUGUUCGGAAUCACUGGGCGUAAAGCGCACGUAGGCGGAUGUGCCAGUCAGGGGUGAAAUCCCGGAGCUCAACUCCGGAACUGCCUCUGAUACAGCACGUCUUGAGUUCGAGAGAGGUGGGUGGAAUUCCUAGUGUAGAGGUGAAAUUCGUAGAUAUUAGGAAGAACACCGGUGGCGAAGGCGGCCCACUGGCUCGAUACUGACGCUGAGGUGCGAAAGCGUGGGGAGCAAACGGGAUUAGAUACCCUGGUAGUCCACGCCUUAAACGAUGGAUGCUAGCCGUCAGCAAGCAUGCUUGUUGGUGGCGCAGCUAACGCAUUAAGCAUCCCGCCUGGGGAGUACGGCCGCAAGGUUA